This 570-nucleotide ribosomal RNA is filed under the name Salmonella enterica subsp. enterica serovar Infantis. RNAcentral describes it as "bacterial SSU rRNA". It matches the Rfam family "Bacterial small subunit ribosomal RNA", at positions 1 to 560 of the family's 1533-position model. The record is from RNAcentral. RNAcentral also lists the same sequence under 2 other names. Lineage: Bacteria; Pseudomonadati; Pseudomonadota; Gammaproteobacteria; Enterobacterales; Enterobacteriaceae.
AAAUUGAAGAGUUUGAUCAUGGCUCAGAUUGAACGCUGGCGGCAGGCCUAACACAUGCAAGUCGAACGGUAACAGGAAGCAGCUUGCUGCUUCGCUGACGAGUGGCGGACGGGUGAGUAAUGUCUGGGAAACUGCCUGAUGGAGGGGGAUAACUACUGGAAACGGUGGCUAAUACCGCAUAACGUCGCAAGACCAAAGAGGGGGACCUUCGGGCCUCUUGCCAUCAGAUGUGCCCAGAUGGGAUUAGCUUGUUGGUGAGGUAACGGCUCACCAAGGCGACGAUCCCUAGCUGGUCUGAGAGGAUGACCAGCCACACUGGAACUGAGACACGGUCCAGACUCCUACGGGAGGCAGCAGUGGGGAAUAUUGCACAAUGGGCGCAAGCCUGAUGCAGCCAUGCCGCGUGUAUGAAGAAGGCCUUCGGGUUGUAAAGUACUUUCAGCGGGGAGGAAGGUGUUGCGGUUAAUAACCGCAGCAAUUGACGUUACCCGCAGAAGAAGCACCGGCUAACUCCGUGCCAGCAGCCGCGGUAAUACGGAGGGUGCAAGCGUUAAUCGGAAUUACUGGGCG